GACGAACGCUGGCGGCGUGCCUAAUACAUGCGAGUAGAACGCUGAAGGAGGAGCUUGCUUCUCCGGAUGAGUUGCGAACGGGUGAGUAACGCGUAGGUAACCUGCCUGGUAGCGGGGGAUAACUAUUGGAAACGAUAGCUAAUACCGCAUAACAGUAGAUAUCGCAUGAUAUCUGCUUGAAAGGUGCAAUUGCAUCACUACCAGAUGGACCUGCGUUGUAUUAGCUAGUUGGUGAGGUAACGGCUCACCAAGGCGACGAUACAUAGCCGACCUGAGAGGGUGAUCGGCCACACUGGGACUGAGACACGGCCCAGACUCCUACGGGAGGCAGCAGUAGGGAAUCUUCGGCAAUGGACGGAAGUCUGACCGAGCAACGCCGCGUGAGUGAAGAAGGUUUUCGGAUCGUAAAGCUCUGUUGUAAGAGAAGAACGAGUGUGAGAGUGGAAAGUUCACACUGUGACGGUAUCUUACCAGAAAGGGACGGCUAACUACGUG
This 495-nucleotide ribosomal RNA is filed under the name uncultured bacterium. Its description in RNAcentral is "partial 16S ribosomal RNA". It matches the Rfam family "Bacterial small subunit ribosomal RNA", at positions 28 to 507 of the family's 1533-position model. The record is from RNAcentral.